GCUUUUGGAGGUCUCCCAUGCCCUAAUGUUUGCAGAACGGUUCUGCUGGGACUCAGCUUUGGUUGUGGUUUUGUCAUGGCAUCAGGCACGAUUUUCCUGAAGUUCUGACAGCUUGGGCUGCUGGACAGAUGGCUGCACAGAAAUAAUGCACAGCCCAGAGUGCUGGCUGGGAUGGAGCUGAAUGCAGGACUGAGGUCAGUGGUACUGCUGAAGAAGAGAAUGGUUGAAAAGCCACCAGACUGUGGAGCUCAAGCAGGAGAAAUGCUGCUGUGCCAAGCUGGCUUGCAUCUGGGUGGCUUGAGACUUAUUCCUGCCACAGGGCCCCAGCUGCAGCCACAGCAGCUGCUCCCAGCCAAGGCAGCAGCUGUGCCACCCCCUGGGUCACCCCUGGUGGAAAACAAAACUCCUGGGAACACUGGUCAGUACAGAGAUGGGCUGGCCUCAGGUGGUCUGCAGGCUUCAUUGGGACCUUCACAGCCAGAAAGACUCAGCAGAGCAGACACGAUCGUUUGUGACUGAAUGCCAUGGAAUUGCACCUGAGCAGAGAGGCAGCAGAGUUGUGGCUGCUAACAGCUCUGUAGGAACACUCAGGCAAGCAGCAUCAGGCAUGGCUUGCUAACUGGAAGAAACAUCCAUAAUUCUGUCAUCAUUUGUCAUAUCCAUGCUAAUGUGAUGGUAAUUCUGUGAUGGACUUUUACCUGUCUUUACUAGCACAUCAGAAGACUUUGCACAGAAAAGCAAAAGGGAUGUUAAAAGCAAAAAGUGCUGCUUGGAGCCAUGUGCACUGAUAAUGAAGCAGACACAGAUUCCUCUGCAUGGCAGGCUGAGGAUUCCAGUGUCCCAAGGGAAGUGUGAGCAGCUGCACACUGCAGUCCUUGUGCUUUAACAAAACCUGAUUUGCUGGGUCACCCUCCUGGAGUGACACAAUACCAUUUAAAGUUGUUUGCUUAUUACAGAGAUACUAUCAAAAGGUGUGGUGCCCUGAUUGGAGUCUAGCGAGAAAGUAACACUCAUUCACCCUCCCACCCAGCCACCCACCUUUGCAGAUGGGCUGAGGGUCUCUCCUUUCUUUGCUUCAUGACUGGAAGUGCUUGAUUCACCCUCACCCAGCACUAAUUGUGUUGCUGCCUACUGGAAGUUCCCGUGUUGGCAUCAGAGCGUUGAGCCUAGAACUCACUGCUAGGGUUAAUUGCAAAGUAAGAGCUUUAUUUCUUGAUGUCUGUUUUAUAUUCAGUUACUUUGUACUCGGUAUCAUUUCCUUGUGAUUUUUUAAAUGAUCAUUAAAAUGUUCCUAAUUGCUG
This 1301-nucleotide long non-coding RNA is filed under the name Cyanistes caeruleus (blue tit). Its description in RNAcentral is "lncRNA (ENSCCEG00000004050.1)". The record is from RNAcentral. Lineage: Eukaryota; Metazoa; Chordata; Aves; Passeriformes; Paridae.